This 255-nucleotide ribosomal RNA is filed under the name uncultured bacterium. Its description in RNAcentral is "partial 16S ribosomal RNA". It matches the Rfam family "Bacterial small subunit ribosomal RNA", at positions 524 to 777 of the family's 1533-position model. The record is from RNAcentral.
UACAGAGGGUGCAAGCGUUGUUCGGAAUUACUGGGCGUAAAGCGCGUGUAGGCGGCGGCGUAAGUCGAAUGUGAAAUCCCUUGGCUUAACCAAGGAAGUGCAUCCGAUACUGCGUCGCUUGAGUGCCGGAGGGGAUGGCGGAAUUCCUGGUGUAGAGGUGAAAUUCGUAGAUAUCAGGAGGAACACCUGUGGCGAAGGCGGCCAUCUCGGACGGUAACUGACGCUGAGACGCGAAAGCGUGGGUAGCGAACAAGG